Molecule: long non-coding RNA, 628 nt
Organism: Lolium rigidum
Lineage: Eukaryota; Viridiplantae; Streptophyta; Magnoliopsida; Poales; Poaceae
Exons: 2
Source: RefSeq, a predicted model, not a curated record
GAGCCAACCUUUCAGAACAUACUAGGAAUAGGGCCAGAUUUUGUCCCAGAAAUAUUGUACAGGUCGCAAAUAGAUAAAAAAUACUUCUCAAGAAGUUAUGGACAUCUGAAGUAGGAUUGCUUGUCGGCAUAUCUUCAGGGGCAAAUGCAGAUGUGCCUACUUAAAGGCAAGCUUGCAUCAAGAGAGACGAACAAGAGCAAGAUGCAGUAGGAGUCUCUCCUGCUGCCUAAAUAAAGGACAAGGGCAAGAUGACUGACAAUGGUUUCAAGUGGUGUAGAGAGGUAUCUGAACACGGAGCUCUUUGCACAGGUGAAGUAAUAGUAUGUCAACGUCAACAUGACUUUCUGAUGUUAAGCUCAAGGCAAUGAUGGCAUAGGGGUUAUCUGCUAGAUAUCUCAUGCACAACUACAUAAUAAGCUGGUAAGCGUUAGUAAGAAUUGAUCCGCAGUGUCGGGGAAGAGAACCUACAGAGUAUCGGUCUAAAAAUCCUGACCAAGAAAGAUUGUAAAACAGAGAAGAAGUAAUUUAAUUAAAAGAAGGCAAUAAGCUACAUCUUGUAUCCGAAUUCCGAAGUGAGCCAUGUCUGUACUUGAUUAAGUCAAUCUAUUUGAUAUAUUAUGUUUAUGUA